Molecule: ribosomal RNA, 551 nt
Filed under: Tomentella sp. src859
Lineage: Eukaryota; Fungi; Basidiomycota; Agaricomycetes; Thelephorales; Thelephoraceae
Description: eukaryotic LSU rRNA
Rfam family: 5.8S ribosomal RNA (bases 212-366)
Source: RNAcentral
AGGAUCAUUACUGAAUUGUCGACACGAGUUGUUGCUGGUCCUNAGANGGGGGCAUGUGCACACUCUGUUUACACAUCCACUCACANNNGUGCACCCUCUGUAGUUCUAUGGCCUGGGGGGGCUCUGUCACCCUUGCCGUGGUCUACGUCUUUACACACACACUGUAAUAAAGUCUCAUGGAAUGUAUGUAGCGUUUAACGCAAUACAAUACAACUUUCAGCAACGGAUCUCUUGGCUCUCGCAUCGAUGAAGAACGCAGCGAAAUGCGAUAAGUAAUGUGAAUUGCAGAAUUCAGUGAAUCAUCGAAUCUUUGAACGCACCUUGCGCCCUUUGGCUAUUCUGAAGGGCAUGCCUGUUUGAGUAUCAUGAACACCUCAACUCUCAUGGCUUGCCANGAUGAGCUUGGAUUUUGGGGGACUUGCUGGCCUAUAGCCAGCUCCUCUCAAAUGAAUCAGCUUGCCAGUGUUUGGUGGCAUCACAGGUGUGAUAACUAUCUACGCUUGUGGUUUUCCAUCAGGUAACCUUCNGUGAUGGAGGUUCGCUGGAGCUCA